Cavia porcellus (domestic guinea pig) is the source of this 62-nucleotide transfer RNA. It matches the Rfam family "tRNA". Rfam says of the family: Transfer RNA (tRNA) molecules are approximately 80 nucleotides in length. Their secondary structure includes four short double-helical elements and three loops (D, anti-codon, and T loops). The record is from Rfam. NCBI's taxonomy places the organism in Eukaryota, Metazoa, Chordata, Mammalia, Rodentia, Caviidae.
GGGGAUUUAGUUGAGCGGCGUAAGCACCUGCCUUGCAAGCAGGUGGUCGAGUUCGAUCCCUG